AGAGGAGUCAUUUUGUCUUCACAGUGUAUGAUGUUAAAUGUUUUAUAAUUAUAUAGAGCUUCACACAUUUUCUGAAGUGCUUUCUGAUUAUUUAUACCCCACUUUUAUUUUGGAGAAUUACAUAUUAUAAAAUGUUUUACAUUAUAAUGACAAUUUUGUGUGAAAAGCCUGGUGUUGUAUGGUAGUUAAGAGUUGAAUUGCCUUAACAUCCAAAUAAGUAUUUGUUCACACUUUGGCAAAAUGUAAAAAGUACAUCUCUGCUAAUUCCAUAGAAUGUAAUUUAUUAAGUAUUUAUUUUGAAGUUAUUCUAAAUCAUUAUAUUUUAAUCUAACUACAUGUAUUGCCAAAUUAAGUUCAUUUUUGUAUAUUAUAUAUGUUCAUAGAUAUACUUUGAAUUAGAUGGUCCUUUUUUGCAAAUUUAUUUCUUCAGUCAAUAAAUAUGUUUAAAGACUAUAAUUAAAACAUUUUAGUACAACUAUCAAAAGACUCUAAUUAAACAUUUAAGUACAAUAAAAAUAUAUGGUAAAGUAACAAACAGAUGAGUCAAGACUGUGUUAAAUUAAAGCAAAAUAAGGCUGGGAAUAAUGAUUUGGGGGUGUGUCAUUAUUAUGGGUCCGGGAUUUAAGGGUUGGAGAUGAGGCAAAAUUUUGAGCCAGGAAGAGACCUUAUUGACGGUUGGGGAUUAAUAAGGGUUUUUAAAUAUCCAUAAGAGUCUGGAUUCAGGAUCCAGGAUGAGGCCUAAUUAAGAGUCUAUGAUUAAGGGUUUGGGAUGCGGCGUAAGUAAAGUCUGAGGAUAAAGGGUUGUGGAUGAGGCAUAACGAAGGGUUGAAGAUGGCAAUUUGAAUCUCUGAUGUUGAGACUUGGUGAGGCUGUCCCUUUAUGAAUAGUCAGUAUUCUUUGAUAUAGGCAGAAAUAACAUGGGAUGUGUGUGGUUUUGGAAAAGUUAGUUUUGACAAGGCUGUCAUUUAAGUAUUGCUAAAAAUAUUUUAAGAAUAUUUUUCUUAAAAUGCCAUCAUAACACAGUUUUUAAGCAGGCAAAAUGGAAACUGAUGGAUUUUGUUUUUAUUCAGAAUUUUUUUUUUGUCUGAUUAAAUGUUUUUUAAGAACCUUGGCAUCUUUAAUAUGAACUUGGGUCUUCUUUUGAAAUGACAACAUGACAAAAUAUUUUUUUUUUCACACAAUUUUGCAUGACUUUUAUGAUUAACAAAUUGAUGCUUAUUGUUUUGUAAACUGCAUGCUUUCCUUGUGGAUGUGCAGGACCAUGAUACAGAUUCUCUUGGAUCUGUAGAUCUGGCACCAUACAUGACUUCACAGCAUUUCACAAAUAAAAAUCUCUCUGCAAAUAUCACCAGUAAACCUUCUGGCAAUAGUAGUAGUAAAAACCAGGAGAAUGCGCACGGGAAAAAUGGGCGGGCUGUUCGUUCUGCAGAAGGUACGAGAAAGGAGGGCAGCUCUGCAUGCACGCUACAGUAACAUACUUGAAGGGGGAAAUUAUUUUGAUCUUCAGUACAUUAAGGAAACAAAAAUCUUUGACACAUGGAAAUUUGAUA
Long non-coding RNA from Ruditapes philippinarum (Manila clam), 1550 nucleotides. RefSeq lists it as uncharacterized. Lineage: Eukaryota; Metazoa; Mollusca; Bivalvia; Venerida; Veneridae. The record is from RefSeq and is a predicted model, not a curated record. The transcript has 2 exons.